UCUUUAAAUGGGGACUAGUAUCAACGGCAUCACGAGGGUUGCACUGUCUCCUUUUUCUAAUCAGUGAAACUGAUCUCCCCGUGAAGAAGCGGGGAUACAACAAUAAGACGAGAAGACCCCAUGGAGCUUUAAAUCUAACAGCAACUCUACCAUACAAUUCCCCACAACCACAGAGCGUGCAUGUAGAUUUUAGGUUGGGGCGACCGCGGAGUAAAAAUUACCCUCCACGACGAAAAGAGCUAAACCCUUAUCCUAGAGAUACCCCUCCAAGAAUUAGUACACUAACGAACUAUGACCCGAUAAUCGAUUAACGGACCAAGUUACCCUGGGGAUAACAGCGCAAUCUACUUCGAGAGCCCAUAUCGACAGGUAGGCUUACGACCUCGAUGUUGGAUCAGGGUACCCAAAUGGUGCAGCCGCUAUUAAUGGUUC
RNAcentral lists this ribosomal RNA (432 nucleotides) under Rhacophorus orlovi. Its description in RNAcentral is "partial 16S ribosomal RNA". It matches the Rfam family "Bacterial large subunit ribosomal RNA", at positions 1973 to 2574 of the family's 2925-position model. Lineage: Eukaryota; Metazoa; Chordata; Amphibia; Anura; Rhacophoridae. The record is from RNAcentral.